RNAcentral lists this ribosomal RNA (339 nucleotides) under Triticum aestivum (bread wheat). Its description in RNAcentral is "partial small subunit ribosomal RNA". Lineage: Eukaryota; Viridiplantae; Streptophyta; Magnoliopsida; Poales; Poaceae. The record is from RNAcentral.
AUGUGCUUGAGCAGGCAUUUGGACCUAGGAUGGCGGGUGCAAUAUCUCGGGGAGAAUCAAGUCAUUGUAAUGGCAUCUCUAGCCAGAACAGUUCAGUUGGUGCACGGCGACGUGGUGGCUCGACAAGUGUGGGCAACAGCAGUAGGGUCCCCCUUGAAGUGGAGCCUGAUGGCUACAAUUCUGGGGUUGAUGAAGAGAAGUUAUAUUCUGAUGUUAUUCAGAAUUUACGACGGGCACCUCGGGCUGAAAACCAAGAUGAGGCUCACAAUGCAGUCCGUGUGGAUGAUGACUCGAUGGGUGAGGACGAAGACCUUGCAGCUGUUGAAUGGGACCCUUUGA